GAUUUUUUCUUGCAGAGUUUUUGCAAGCCUACAACACCGACUGGAUUUUUAAGGGACACAGCCCACCUCGUUGGCCCACACUGACCAAUGUCUGUGUGCAAUGAGAUCCUGACCAAUGUUGUUGACCCUGACAUUGUUAAAAAGGCUAAAGAACAGAAUCUCAAACACCACAGUGACCGAUCAGGUGCGUGCAUGGGCAAUAUGGACAUAUGCUAUGGAGAUUUAAACUAGCACCACAUAUCCUUCCUUGGCUACUGGAAGCAGCAGAGCUGUAGUAGCAUCAAGGCAAGCAUAUGCUGUUCCAUAAUUCUGCUUACAAGCCUAAUGGAGUUCUACUAAUAUGAUUCUAGAGCUUUGCAUAUGCUGAGUAGGUUGGUUUUGUUCACACACAUCUAAGCUGUGUUCAGUCAUGGAUCUAUCCUGGGAUAUAACCUGCAUUCACAUAUUGCAAAACAUCAGCAGCAUCACCAAAUGAGUCUCAGGAAUGUCCUGCAUAUUUGUCAGUGUUAGUAAUAUAUAACCACAGCAUCCUGCAUUUAUGAGAUCUGCAUAGAUUCUUCUAGCUUCCAACUGGGCAAGGCUGGAGCUGUGCAAGGAGUCAAAGAUAACUCUGUAGCUUCUACCACUGCAGAAAGUUGCUGGCUUUUGAAAGCCAGGUGAUGGCAAAGGAGGACUUAGAGGUAUAAGAGUGACCAUACUUUUCCAUUCUCCCUACUUUGUAGCUGGACUUAUGUGGAAGGAUGGCUGACCCAGGGAGGUCAUGUUUAUCUCUAAGAGGGGAGCAAGUGUCUCCUA
Molecule: long non-coding RNA, 795 nt
Filed under: Gallus gallus (chicken)
Lineage: Eukaryota; Metazoa; Chordata; Aves; Galliformes; Phasianidae
Description: lncRNA (ENSGALG00010006595.1)
Source: RNAcentral